CCAGCAGCCGCGGUAAUCCAGCUCCAAUAGCGUAUAUUAAAGUUGUUGCAGUUAAAAGCUCGUAGUUGAAUUUCGGGAUCAAUACGUCGGUCGUGCUUCGGUACGUACUAACGUCAUUGAUUUCUCCCUUCUGACGAAUCGUGAUGUCAUUAAUUUGGUGUUACGGGGAGUUAGGACUGUUACUUUGAAAAAAUUAGAGUGUUUAAAGCAAGCAAUCGCUCGAAUACAUUAGCAUGGAAUAAUGAAAUAGGACGUUCGAACCUAUUUUGUUGGUUUCUAGGGAUCGACGUAAUGAUUAAUAGGGAUAUUGGGGGGCAUUAGUAUUCAAUUGUCAGAGGUGAAAUUCUUGGAUUUAUUGAAGACUAACUACUGCGAAAGCAUUUGCCAAGGAUGUUUUCAUUAAUCAAGAACGAAAGUUAGGGGGAUCGAAGACGAUCAGAUACCGUCGUAGUCUUAACCAUAAACUAUGCCGACUAGGGAUCGGAUGAUGUUAAUUUUAUAAUGACUCAUUCGGCGCCUUACG
RNAcentral lists this ribosomal RNA (523 nucleotides) under uncultured Glomus. RNAcentral describes it as "SSU rRNA". It matches the Rfam family "Eukaryotic small subunit ribosomal RNA", at positions 567 to 1092 of the family's 1831-position model. The record is from RNAcentral. Lineage: Eukaryota; Fungi; Glomeromycota; Glomeromycetes; Glomerales; Glomeraceae.